This is a long non-coding RNA of Ornithorhynchus anatinus (platypus), 297 nucleotides long. RefSeq lists it as uncharacterized. The record is from RefSeq and is a predicted model, not a curated record. Lineage: Eukaryota; Metazoa; Chordata; Mammalia; Monotremata; Ornithorhynchidae. The transcript has 3 exons.
CUGAAGUCACAAAACAAUUGACGCGAAAAGCCUUUUUAAAAAAGAUGAGCGAUAUAUAAAUACAAGAGGGCAGAAGCCUCAAGGAAGAGAACGGACCUGGCCAACUGUAUUUGAUGCCUGCGGCCAUCUGUGCCAGAGGGGAAGAGCUGAAUGGACUGAGAAGAGGCCAUUAGGAAGGAAUGAGAUUCAACGAAGAGAUGCUCCUGGUCUGCCAACUCUGUUGGAUCGCACUCUUCCAAGAACGUGGCACGGUGCUCAGCACACACUGAGGGAACUGAGGCACAGAGAAGAGGUGUC